RNAcentral lists this ribosomal RNA (446 nucleotides) under uncultured bacterium. RNAcentral's name for it is "partial 16S ribosomal RNA". It matches the Rfam family "Bacterial small subunit ribosomal RNA", at positions 338 to 795 of the family's 1533-position model. The record is from RNAcentral.
CCUACGGGUGGCAGCAGUCGAGAAUCAUUCACAAUGGGCGAAACCCUGAUGGUGCGACGCCGCGUGGGGGAAUGAGGUUCUUCGGAUUGUAAACCCCUGUCAUGUGGGAGCAAAUUAACAAGAUAGUACCAUAAGAGGCAGAGACGGGUAACUCUGGGCCAGAAGCCGCGGUAAUACAGAGGUCUCACGCGUUGUUCGGAAUCACUGGGGGUAAAGCGUGCGGAGGCUGUUUUGUCAGUCGUGUGUGAAAGGCGCGGGCUCAAACCGCGGACGGCACCUGAUACCGGGAGACUAGAGUAAGAGAGAGGGAAGCGGAAUUCGCGGUGGAGCAGUGAAAUGCGUAGAUAUCGAGAGGAACACCCGUGGCGAAGGCAGGUUCCUGGAUAUAUACUGACGCUGAGGCACGAAGGCGAGGGGAGCGAAAGGGAUUAGAUACCCCAGUAGUC